Long non-coding RNA from Mus spicilegus (steppe mouse), 4821 nucleotides. Lineage: Eukaryota; Metazoa; Chordata; Mammalia; Rodentia; Muridae. The record is from Ensembl.
AUGCAAAUCUUAUUUCUACUUACAGGUGUGCCCUUGGCAUAUGCUGGAGAGCGAUGGAAUCCACAGGUCGGGCUCUCAGAAAACAGAGAUUUCACGGACAGGGCUGUGCAGAGUGGCUGGUACCAUAUGGUACCACGUGGGGGCACUGAUACCUCACAGGACCGGAAAUGUGCUGUAGAGCACUUUUCAUUUUACUGUGAGAGCCAGCCACUCCUCCUGCGGCCAUCCCAAUCCUCUGUGAACCCUCCCUCGCCCGUGCCAGAUUCUUCUUCAGAAUCCUCAGUAGCCCUCUUGGUUUCCAUGACUACUGGAGGUAGGUGUUUUAUCCAUGUGAUUUGGUGCUCAAAACAGUGUUCACAGGGACAAGAGUUGAGCCCUUCAACACAGCAUUGUCAACCAAAGAAACAAAGGGCAGAAGCCGUGCCCCCUAAACAGCCUCCAGCCUCUUUUUAAACCACACCCUCUUCCUCAGUUCUGGUGGGUGGCCUGCUUUUCUAGGCAGAAAUCACCACCCACCUAUUGGAUCCCAGAAGUUCAGCCAUACUUGGGUUCUGCAUGUUCUUGCUCUACCAGAAAGCGGCAUCUCCUACUUGUUGAGGUUAGUCCUCCAUUUUCAGUAUGCCUCUGACCUGUGGUAUAUCUGCCAUUCUCUUAGCACAAGCUUUGAAGGUUGGAGAGCAUCUUCCAUCCCCAGCCAGGCUUUGAGCUCCUUGUGGAUAGGAAGGAUGCAGGUGCAAACUUAGUUUCAGCUCAGCCCGUUAGCUCCCAGUGGAGCACUCUCAUAGUGUCACAAAAAGCUUUGUGACUUUGUGACAUGAUCCUCACCUUUAGCCCAGUCCUUCAAGGUCAUGACACCUGACUUCUGGCUGACCAUAGCUCCUUCUACUAGUCAAUCAACUACAGUGAGCUGGGGCUGGGACUGAAGCUGAGAACAUGUCUGGAAGCUGGGAGAAAAGUAUGUUCCAGAAGUGAAAUGGAAAAAGUCGAUUAUCCUGGAGUCUUCAGACGGAGGACAGUGAACUGGCUCCCUUGGAGUUUUGCCCGUUUGGAUGUUGGCUCUGCAAGUUCCAUGCCAUGUGACAUGGGACUUUUCUAAGAAUGGGAUGGGGCUCUCAUUUUGUAUGCAUAAACUGAGUUACAGUACCUACCAAUUAAAGGGAAGUUUUAGAAAGAAAAUUCAACUAGGUGAUGCUUGGGCCCUUGCCACUGGGGCUGGCACAGCUUAGACAUAGCUAGGGGACAGUCACAUCAUUAUUGCUAGUGGCUCUCUUUCAACUGGAAGCAGAGUGGAAGUCUCUGGAUUGGAAAAUCCAAUCUGAGGCCCGACAAGUCACUGGGUGGGAAAUGGGUGUACAGCCAUGGGAACCGGGCAGAGUCUUAGUGAGAGAAAAACAGCUACCCAGAAACAGCUCAACCCCAGGCUCUCAGCCUCUGCUCUGCAAAUGACAACCAAGAAUCUGCUUUGAUUUUUCUCCAUUUUCCCCUUCUCCUUCCUUUAGGAUUUUUCAGGCUUGGGGAUUGAACCCAGGGCAUCUCACACGGACUUGGCCACUGAGUUACAUCUUCAGUUCUUACUGUUUAUGUUUGAAACAGAGUUACUAACUCUCUCAAGAUGCUCUUAAACUCACUCAAACAGGCUUUAAAUUUUUAGUCCUCCUGCCUCAGUCUCCACAGUAGCUGGGAUGACAGGUGUGGCUAAGAAUCUGAGUUUUCAACAAACUCAAUCCUCCCAUGGAGAAAGGUCCGGCUUAGCGUUUUUGGAAGUCCUUUUGUAAUCACACCAGGACCUUCUCUCCUUCUUCUCCAAGCUAAUGACCAUUUGCCUGCAGAUUGGGUAGACAUUGUGCGAGCAGAAAGUCCACAGAAACAUCGAAAGGUGGACCUCCCCUGGUUAGCCCUGUCCCCAGUAGGAUGUAGCAUCACUGAACUUCUCCUUUAUGCCCAGCAGAGGGCGAGCAUGUGCUAGUGCUGUGACCGUUCAAAUGGCACUGAGUUAUUUGCAAAGUAAAAAUCCUUCACCUGCUCCUAUAUGGAGUUCUGUCAGCCAGGUCUGGGUGGCAUUCCAGGGAUCCAGGGCAGGCACCUUCCUCCAGCUGGAUGUAGAUGUUUGGUCCCAGUACCUGGCUCCUUAGGCUCCUCACUCUUCAUCCAUGCACCUGCAUAGAGGUGGGUACCACCCACCAAUUAGCACCUAGAUUCUAGAGUAAAUCGAAAUGGAAUACUGAAUAGCAAUGUGUGACAAAGAUCAUCAAACAGAAAAGCCAUCUUUACAUGUCACUCUCGGGGAGAGCCCAGCUGGGCAACCCAGAGGGUCUGCAGAACCAUGUGGAUACAUCACAUCAUAACUCACAUGUGGUAGUGUGGAAAGAAGAGGCUCUUUCUUAUGAACCUUUUACCCAGCUCGUUGCCUAGGUUAUGGGAGGAGGCGGGAUAGCAUGUCUGAAGGAUCCUAGUCUCUGAAAACAGACUACUCAAACCCUAGGUUGGCCACACGUUAGUUGUGUGCCUUUGGGCAGGAAUCUAAACUUCUGGAGCUUCAGUUUACCUAUCUGUAAGAUGGAGGCUAUGGGAGCAUAAAUUGCCAACUAUUGUGUAUUGUUUAGAUGAUUUUAGAUUCAUAUAAUGUACUUGGCAUACAGUAGGUGCUAAACAGAUGCAUGGUUGCUGUCGUUUUUCUUUUCAGCUUUUCCUUGAGUAAAACAAGUAAACCGGACCCUUUCCAAAGUGAUAUCUGAAGUUCCAGGAGACAAGCAUGGAGAAAGAAGGCCCCUAGAAUGGACGCCCUCUCUCCUCCCUCUCCAGGUCUUCCUUCUGUAAGAACCUAUAUCAACUCCACUUCCAGUGUAUCUACUGCUACAGCAUCAUGUUCUUUCAUUGGUGGGCUGGUGUCCCACGUGUUCUGGCUGGGAAGGUAAGUGUCGUCCCUCGGAGGUUCAGGGCCUGGUAAAGCAGGGUUUUUCUUUGCUGGACAAAAUGACAGCUUAGGAGAUGAGUGUCUCUGUGCCAGCAUAGCAUGUCUCUGAGAUGGCCCUUCCCUGAGGUUAUGAGGCUAGGCCUUUGUUGUUGGGAGCAUCCUGGUUAUCUCUCCCAGAGGCUGGGAAAGUGGCUUUCCAGGAGCUCAGUCAACAGCCCAGAGAGUGAGAAAGAGUUAUUAUGCACUCACAGAGCAUCCUGCUUCCCAAUCCCUCCAUCAGGGCCUUAGAUGGCUCAUGCCAGAUCUCAGAUAGAACCUUAGUAGAGUUUCUAUCCACAGCUUUGCAAGGGUGUGCCCAGCUGUAAGGAGGCUGUUACCCACUUCUCUUUGGGUACAUCUUUAGAACUUGUACUGUGGAAUGGCAGCCUGGUUCUGUAUAUAGGGGAAGCAUUAUUCUUUCUUGCUUGGGCAGGUGAGAAAGACCUGUUAGCUCCAGGAGCCUGAACUGACCCCCAGCGAUGUUUUGGGUUAUGCCUGUGUCCUGAUACCUGACCAGGAACAAGCCUUUCUUAUCCCAGGGUCUUCCUUGGUCUCCUUACUUGUCAGAGUCUCAGUAGCUACCUCUUCUGUUCUUUGCGAUAACCAUAGUGAACAAGCAUGAUAGAGAACUUUUAACAGGUGCCCAGGCCUCAUUCUCAUCAUCUGCAACAUGGAUGCUUCAGCCAGCUCACCCCCCAAACACAAACAUGCUGUGACCCCUGGCUGCUGAUCAAACAUAGAAGCCUGAGUGCAUUGAGUGUGACCAUCAACAGGCACAUAUUGAUGACAGUAUGAGAUGUCCCUCCCAGGGACUUGGAGUCUCUUGGUUUGCCACCAAUGCUAGCAUGCCAAAACUGGGUGACACACGGGGACAGCUGAUGCAGAGAAGGGUCAGGAGGAUUCUGGAAUCAUGGGCUGGGUCUUGACAUUUUCUCUGAACAUUGGGAAAUCUUUCUUCUGCUUGUAGACAUGGUGUCUAGUCAAGGGACCCAGGGAAGGGUGUUGCCACUUUCUUAGGAUGAUGUCUGAUGCUCCUGCUCUCUGUCCUCCUGUUUCUUUGUUUUAGAUUCAGUUUGUGGCCAACUCUACUCAUGCUUUUUGCCAUCUCUUCACCAAGUACCCCUUUCCAAUGGACUCCAAAGCAACCAUCGUUUCUUCAUGUAUUUUGGCCUCAGCAUCCUUUUCUUUGGCUUCCACCAGCAGACAUCCCCAAGGGACCCUGGAAGAUGCCGAGAUAAAAAGUGGAACCAGGGACUGAUACUAACAGAGCUGUACUCCUGGAGACCCUGGCAGAGGACAGCAUAGCUCUUAGCAGAUUCCUGGAACUGCAGUUGGUUGGAUGAACAAUGUCCUCCCUUAUAGACUUGAGGAGGGAUGAAAUGGAUUAUGACUUCAUACCUACUUCUCACAUGGAUUUGUAACUAUUUGCUAACCUCCUGCUUCUACUAGACAUAGUCUUAUAAUGGAAGGGACUGUCACCUACUUCAUUUCAACAAAUGUGUCUCUAGGGCUCAGAUUCUGCAACUGGUGGUCAUGACCACCGGUAAAGGACAGGCCUGGGUGCGAAUGAAAUCAAGGAUGGCUGGCAAUCUGACUUGGAGUGGGAAAUUACUUGGUUUCUGAAGUAGUGCUGAACAGUUACCCCUUCCCCAACCCGCCCCCCCCCAUAGCUCCUGGCUUGCCACCCUCUAUAUGUGUAUCUCUGCAGUUGUAUGGUUCCAUGGUCUGUUAUUGGGGUGAGAGAAAUGGCUAUGUGCACGGAUGAGAACUGUUUUCUGUCAACGUGUGGGUCUCUCUGCUUUGUUCACUUGUCUCUUCCGUAAAUAUUCACAAAUAAAAUGAUCCAAGAUCAAUGGCUCUCCGGUCUC